CCAACAGGGAUUGCCCUAGUAACGGCGAGUGAAGCGGCAAUAGCUCAAAUUUGAAAGCUGGCCUUUGGUCCGCAUUGUAAUUUGUAGAGGAUGCUUUUAGGCAGCCGCCGGUCUAAGUUCCUUGGAACAGGACGUCAUAGAGGGUGAGAAUCCCGUAUGUGACCGGCUCAGGCACCUUCUGUAAAGCUCCUUCGACGAGUCGAGUUGUUUGGGAAUGCAGCUCUAAAUGGGAGGUAAAUUUCUUCUAAAGCUAAAUACCGGCGAGAGACCGAUAGCGCACAAGUAGAGUGAUCGAAAGAUGAAAAGCACUUUGGAAAGAGAGUUAAAAAGCACGUGAAAUUGUUGAAAGGGAAGCGCUUGCAAUCAGACUUGGGCUUGGCUGUUCAACCGGUCUUCUGACCGGCCCACUCAGCCUUGCCCAGGCCAGCAUCAGUUUCGGCGGCCGGAUAAAGGCCCUGGGAACGUAGCUGCCCCCUCGGGGGCAGUGUUAUAGCCCAGGGUGUAAUACGGCCAGCCGGGACUGAGGUCCGCGCUUCGGCUAGGAUGCUGGCGUAAUGGUUGUAAGCGGCCCGUCUUGAAACACGGACCAAGGAGUCUAACAUCUAUGCGAGUGUUAGGGUGUCAAACCCUUACGCGUAAUGAAAGUGAACGGAGGUGGGAACCCGCAAGGGCGCACCAUCGACCGAUCCUGAUGUCUUCGGAUGGAUUUGAGUAUGAGCAUAGCUGUUGGGACCCGAAAGAUGGUGAACUAUGCCUGAAUAGGGUGAAGCCAGAGGAAACUCUGGUGGAGGCUCGCAGCGGUUCUGACGUGCAAAUCGAUCGUCAAAUUUGGGUAUAGGGGCGAAAGACUAAUCGA
Molecule: ribosomal RNA, 856 nt
Filed under: Dothiora aloidendri
Lineage: Eukaryota; Fungi; Ascomycota; Dothideomycetes; Dothideales; Dothioraceae
Description: partial large subunit ribosomal RNA
Rfam family: Eukaryotic large subunit ribosomal RNA
Source: RNAcentral